Molecule: ribosomal RNA, 232 nt
Filed under: uncultured bacterium
Lineage: Bacteria
Description: partial 16S ribosomal RNA
Rfam family: Bacterial small subunit ribosomal RNA
Source: RNAcentral
AGCCGCGAACGGGUGAGUAACACGUGGGUUACCUGCCUCGAUGACCGGGACAACCCGAGGAAACUCGGGCUAAUACCGGAUGUGCCCGCAAGGGGAAAGGAAGCUUCGGCCUCCGCAUCGAGAUGGGCCCGCGGCCCAUUAGCUUGUUGGUGAGGUAACGGCUCACCAAGGCUUUGAUGGGUAGCUGGUCUGAGAGGACGAUCAGCCACACUGGGACUGAGACACGGCCCAG